This 69-nucleotide transfer RNA is filed under the name Challia fletcheri. Its description in RNAcentral is "tRNA-Val". The record is from RNAcentral. Lineage: Eukaryota; Metazoa; Arthropoda; Insecta; Dermaptera; Pygidicranidae.
CAAAAUAAAGCUUAACAAUUCUAUAGCCUUCCGUUUACACCGGAAAGAACUUCACAAGAAGAAUUUUGA